Molecule: ribosomal RNA, 466 nt
Filed under: uncultured bacterium
Lineage: Bacteria
Description: partial 16S ribosomal RNA
Rfam family: Bacterial small subunit ribosomal RNA
Source: RNAcentral
GACGAACGCUGGCGGCGUGCUUAACACAUGCAAGUCGAACAGAAAGGCCCUGCUUGCAGGGUACUCGAGUGGCGAACGGGUGAGUAACACGUGGGUGAUCUGCCCUGCACUUCGGGAUAAGCUUGGGAAACUGGGUCUAAUACCGGAUAGGAGCCAUCUUUAGUGUGGUGGUUGGAAAGUUUUUUCGGUGUAGGAUGAGCUCGCGGCCUAUCAGCUUGUUGGUGGGGUAAUGGCCUACCAAGGCGGCGACGGGUAGCCGGCCUGAGAGGGUGUACGGCCACAUUGGGACUGAGAUACGGCCCAGACUCCUACGGGAGGCAGCAGUGGGGAAUAUUGCACAAUGGGCGCAAGCCUGAUGCAGCGACGCCGCGUGGGGGAUGAAGGCCUUCGGGUUGUAAACUCCUUUCGCUAGGGACGAAGCUUUGUUGUGACGGUACCUAGAUAAGAAGCACCGGCUAACUACGUG